GAUGAACGCUGGCGGCGUGCCUAAUACAUGCAAGUCGAGCGAACGGACGAGAAGCUUGCUUCUCUGAUGUUAGCGGCGGACGGGUGAGUAACACGUGGAUAACCUACCUAUAAGACUGGGAUAACUUCGGGAAACCGGAGCUAAUACCGGAUGAUAUUUUGAACCGCACGGUUCAAAAGUGAAAGACGGUCUUGCUGUCACUUAUAGAUGGAUCCGCGCAGCAUUAGCUAGUUGGUAAGGUAACGGCUUACCAAGGCAACGAUGCAUAGCCGACCUGAGAGGGUGAUCGGCCACACUGGAACUGAGACACGGUCCAGACUCCUACGGGAGGCAGCAGUAGGGAAUCUUCCGCAAUGGGCGAAAGCCUGACGGAGCAACGCCGCGUGAGUGAUGAAGGUCUUCGGAUCGUAAAACUCUGUUAUUAGGGAAGAACAUAUGUGUAAGUAACUGUGCACAUCUUGACGGUACCUAAUCAGAAAGCCACGGCUAACUACGUG
RNAcentral lists this ribosomal RNA (497 nucleotides) under uncultured bacterium. RNAcentral's name for it is "partial 16S ribosomal RNA". It matches the Rfam family "Bacterial small subunit ribosomal RNA", at positions 28 to 507 of the family's 1533-position model. The record is from RNAcentral.